AUAAGCGGAGGAAAAGAAACCAACAGGGAUUGCCCUAGUAACGGCGAGUGAAGCGGCAACAGCUCAAAUUUGAAAUCUGGCCCUUGGGUCCGAGUUGUAAUUUGUAGAGGAUGCUUUUGGUGCGGUACCUUCCGAGUUCCCUGGAACGGGACGCCAUAGAGGGUGAGAGCCCCGUCUGGUUGGAUGCCAAUCCUCUGUAAAGCUCCUUCGACGAGUCGAGUAGUUUGGGAAUGCUGCUCUAAAUGGGAGGUAUAUGUCUUCUAAAGCUAAAUAUUGGCCAGAGACCGAUAGCGCACAAGUAGAGUGAUCGAAAGAUGAAAAGCACUUUGAAAAGAGAGUUAAAAAGCACGUGAAAUUGUUGAAAGGGAAGCGCUUAUGACCAGACUUGGGCUUGGUUGAUCAUCCGGCGUUCUCGCCGGUGCACUCUUCCGGCUCAGGCCAGCAUCAGUUUGCUUCGGGGGAUAAAGGCUUUGGGAAUGUGGCUCCCUCGGGAGUGUUAUAGCCCACUGUGUAAUACCCUGGAGCGGACUGAGGUACGCGUUCUGCAAGGAUGCUGGCGUAAUGGUCAUCAGUGACCCGUCUUGAAACACGGACCAAGGAGUCGUCUUCGUAUGCGAGUGUUCGGGUGUCAAACCCCUACGCGUAAUGAAAGUGAACGCAGGUGAGAGCUUCGGCGCAUCAUCGACCGAUCCUGAUGUUCUCGGAUGGAUUUGAGUAAGAGCAUACGGGGCCGGACCCGAAAGAAGGUGAACUAUGCCUGUGUAGGGUGAAGCCAGAGGAAACUCUGGUGGAGGCUCGCAGCGGUUCUGACGUGCAAAUCGAUCGUCAAACAUGGGCAUGGGGGCGAAAGACUAAU
Molecule: ribosomal RNA, 856 nt
Filed under: Scolecofusariella peltigerae
Lineage: Eukaryota; Fungi; Ascomycota; Sordariomycetes; Hypocreales; Nectriaceae
Description: Scolecofusarium ciliatum partial large subunit ribosomal RNA
Rfam family: Eukaryotic large subunit ribosomal RNA
Source: RNAcentral